UUCACUCUUCCCUCUAAACCUAAACCUAUAUCGCACCGUCCACCGUAUAUCCACCACUUUCCUCCUCGCCGUUGGCCAUCCAGCUAUCUCUCUCAGCCUCAUCUCCCUCUUCCCCUUCCUAGAUCGAUGCACAGCACAGCUUGCCUUGUGUUUGACUAAGGACGUAGAGGGUAGCAACUCAUUCUCUCCCGCCGGUCUCCGCUCCUCCAUCUCAACUCCACUCUUCGUCGCUCACGCAAUCGCCCCUGUUGCCUUCGGCGACCCCGCGGUCGGCCACCCUGUGGACGGCGACGCCGCACACGCCGAGGACGCCCAGCCGCUGGCCAGCCCCAUGCGGAAGGUCGUGGUCAGCAUCCGCUGCUAGCAAAUCGAUUGGCUUUUGUAGUUUUGACUUGGGAAGACUCGCACUUCUAGCCAGGAUCUUCUGUGGAGUUGAGUCCGAUUAGGGUUUCUGUUCCCACUCUAUGAAAGUUGUGCCUUCGGUCAUCAUUCUCCUUGACAACGUUAGCAAGCAAGCGAUAGAAACGAAGCGAGCACGGCGAUGGAACAGACAGACCUUCAUCAUGAUCAAGCCCAACGACUUCCAACGAGGCCUAGUGUGCUCUCCGUCUUCCUCCCCCUUGAUUUCUUAUUCCUUCGCUUCGUUCAUCUAUUUGUCGGCGUUGCAUUGCGUAAUUUACAGUAGAUAUGUUACUGAAACACCAAAAUCCUUCUUCUUCCUUUUUUUUUAGUUGAAAGGUUGGAGAAAUUAUUAGUAGGUUUGAGAAAAAAGGUUUCUACUUGAAAGGUGAAGAUUUUACCAACUACAAUCCUUUUUUGUUUUCCCGUCUACUUUAGAGAAGAAACGAGAAAUUUUCUUGGUUAUUUUUGUGCGUCGAUCAUGGUUGAAGUUGGUCGGCGUGGAACGCUCCUUUGCAGAGAAACACUAUGUCGACCUCUCUGCGAAGCCCUUCUUUGGUUCCCUUGUGGAGUACAUCAUCUCUGGUCCGGUGGUAGCGAUGGUAUGGACGUGAAAGAAUGUGGUGGUCAGACUAUGCAAUUGAGAUUGGCAGGAUUUGUGUGUUGGGCUUCUUAGAUGCGCUACAUAUACAACUUAAAGGCUUUGAUCAUUAAGUCCAUGAUGCUUCCUUCCAACAUGUUGAUAACCAUGCUAAUUGAAGGUCUAUUUUCUGGCUUUAUCUGUAUGCACCAUAAACCCACUAUCAUCAUUUUUUUUGCAAUUUCUUUAGUCUUAGGAUUAGCAUCAGUCUCAGGACUAACAAGACUAGUAUCAGGAGUGACCAAAUCAUAGUACUUAUCAAAAUUGUCAUAAACCCAAUCUGGUGUUAGACUGGGUUUAUGACAAUUUUAUGUGCAUAUUCAAUUUGUAUCAUCUUCAGGAAUUGGCAAAUGGUCAAAACAAGUUUAAUAAUGAGCACACAUAUAGCUUGAUAUCUGAAUUGCUUCCCCUGCUGAAACAUAUCUAUCAGAACCAAUUAAAUGAGCUGGAAGUAAAGCAAGGGGAUCAAGGUAAGCUUCAAAACAAUUGCCUAGUUUCUUCCUCCAGUUAGAUAUCCUCUUGAUCGAUCUAUCAUCCAAAAGGUGGAUUUUCUAGUGUACUUCUUCGAGUAUAUGAGCCUCACAAUGAGCUUGUUAACUGGUAUGUCUUCACAUCUGUAACACCUCUGAUAAUUUCGUAAGAGGAGAUGAGUAGACUCCGGAAGAAUGAGUAGCUCAACACUUCACAUUUGAAUGCAUUUGAGUAAUGGAAUUUCAGUCACUGAUAUUAUAAUCCUGUGUUUAAUUACUCUAACCACCGUUUAACUUUCUGAGAAUUAUUGAUCUUUUUUUAUGAUGAAUAUUUUAGGACGAAUGAUGGACAAAAGUACAGCAGAUGUAGCUUCAGAUGGGUAUCACAAAUAUAAGCUACUUCCUAAGCAAUCACACAAUUAAAGAGUUAGUUUGACUAUAGAAGAAUCAUACAAGUAACUUUCAGUAAGAUGAGAUGAUUUAUUAGGAAGAUGUCAAGCUGAUGGCUGAAUUGGGAUUGGACUCCUACAGAUUCUCCAUCUCUUGGUCAAGACUUCUUCCGAAUGGAAGAGGAUUUGUGAAUCCUAAAGGUCUGUAGUUCUACAACAACUUCAUCGAUGAGCUAGUGAAAUAUGGGACUGGAUUGAUCUUACUUCAUCAUUUGAAUUUGCAAAUUUAGCUGGUUUAGUAGAGAAGAUCAUGUGAACUCCUGGAUCUUCUUGGAUGCAAGAACUCUCAUGAAUCAAUGAGUUGUUGAUGCUCUGAACAUUGCUAUUCACACUUGUGCUAAUGGAAAGGACUUCAGUACUUGCCAUUUUAGAUCAAAGAAGCUGAGCAAACAAGUAAAAAUUAUCAGCAAAAGGUAAGAGAAUUGGAGAAUCAAUUAAAUAGUGAGAGGACAACCAAGAAGGAUGUUGCAAAGUUCCCAAAGCCUCCAAUGACUCCUUUAAGAUGGAGGCCUCCUUUACAAAGAAUCACCAAUCAGUUGUCACCCUCAGGACAUCAAAUGAGCAAAGGUGCUCAUCCAGUAAUAGAUAAAGAGAAUUGUCUAUUAAUAAAUAAAACUACUGGGGAAGAUUUAGUUAAAUCUCUGCACAGAGUAAGAAGGAUAACGUUGGCACCAGUAAGAAGAAUAUUUGUGUACUAUCUAUUA
Zingiber officinale is the source of this 2662-nucleotide long non-coding RNA. RefSeq lists it as uncharacterized. The record is from RefSeq and is a predicted model, not a curated record. NCBI's taxonomy places the organism in Eukaryota, Viridiplantae, Streptophyta, Magnoliopsida, Zingiberales, Zingiberaceae. The transcript is spliced from 8 exons.